This 272-nucleotide ribosomal RNA is filed under the name uncultured prokaryote. Its description in RNAcentral is "partial 16S ribosomal RNA". It matches the Rfam family "Bacterial small subunit ribosomal RNA", at positions 524 to 796 of the family's 1533-position model. The record is from RNAcentral.
UACGUAGGGGGCAAGCGUUGUCCGGAAUUAUUGGGCGUAAAGAGCGCGUAGGCGGUCCGAUAAGUCGGCUGUGAAAGUCAGGGGCUCAACCCUUGAAAGCCGGCCGAUACUGUCGGACUAGAGUCCGGAAGAGGCAAGUGGAAUUCCCGGUGUAGCGGUGAAAUGCGCAGAUAUCGGGAGGAACACCAAUGGCGAAGGCAGCUUGCUGGGACGGUACUGACGCUGAGGCGCGAAAGCGUGGGGAGCAAACAGGAUUAGAUACCCGGUAGUCC